AUGUCCGGCUUCGUCGGGGUCGUCGUCUCCGACCCCUCCCUGCAGGGCCAGUUCACGCAGGUGGAGCUCCGAUCGCUCAAGGCCAAGUUCGUGUCUCUGAAGAGGGACUCCGGCCAUGUCACCACCAAGAACCUCCCGGGGCUGAUGAAGAAGCUCAGGGGACUUCACGAAGUGGUCCCUGAGGAGGAGAUCGCCGCCUUCUUGUCGGAGUCGUACCCUGACAGCGACCAGGAGAUUGAGUUCGAGUCCUUCCUCCGGGAGUACCUGAAUCUGCAAGCAAGGGUGAGCGCCAAGGAAGGAAGCGCCGCUGCCGGCGGCGGCGGGGCUGGCGGCCGCAAGAACUCGUCGUCGUUCCUCAAAUCCACCAUCACUACGCUGCUGCACAAUCUCAACCAGGCGGAGAAGUCUUCUUACGUGGCGCAUAUUAACACUUACCUUGGUGAAGACCCAUUCUUGAAGAAGUACUUGCCAAUCGACCCAUCCGGCAACCAGCUAUUCGAUCUUAUUCGGGAUGGUGUCCUGCUCUGUAAGUUGAUCAAUGUAGCUGUACCUGGGACCAUUGAUGAGAGAGCAAUAAAUAAGAAAAGAGUUCUUAACCCAUGGGAGAGGAAUGAAAACCACACACUGUGCCUCAACUCUGCAAAGGCCAUUGGAUGUACUGUUGUCAACAUUGGCACCCAGGAUUUAGUGGAAGGAAGGCCUCAUUUAGUUCUUGGAUUGAUAUCUCAAAUCAUAAAGAUUCAACUUUUGGCUGAUCUUAAUCUUAAGAAGACACCCCAGCUUGUGGAAUUGUUUGAUGACAGUAAGGAUAUAGAUGAAGUGUUGAGCUUGUCACCAGAAAAGAUGCUGCUUCGAUGGAUGAACCAUCAUCUGAAAAAGGCUGGCUACAAGAAAACUGUCAACAAUUUCUCUUCGGAUGUGAAGGAUGGUGAAGCCUAUGCUUAUCUUCUAAAAGCUCUUGCUCCAGAGACUUCCCCUGAAACCACACUGGUGACCAAGGAUCCUGAUGAAAGGGCAAAAAUGGUACUUGAACAAGCAGAGAAGUUGGACUGCAAAAGAUACCUUACACCAAAGGAUAUCACUGAGGGUUCUGCCAACUUGAAUCUUGCAUUUGUUGCACAAAUAUUCCAGCAUCGGAAUGGUCUAACUAGUGACAUUAAACAAGUUACACUCACACAGACAGCAUCACGUGAUGAUGUUCUAGUAUCCAGAGAAGAAAGGGCCUUCCGAAUGUGGAUCAACAGCCUUGGGGUCGAGUCAUACGUGAAUAAUGUUUUUGAAGAUGUUCGCAAUGGAUGGGUACUUCUUGAAGUACUUGACAAAGUUUCUCCUGGAUCUGUCAAUUGGAAGUUGGCAUCAAAACCUCCAAUUAAGUUGCCAUUUAGGAAACUGGAGAACUGCAAUCAAGUUGUAAAAAUUGGGAAGGAGUUAAAGUUUUCAUUAGUAAAUUUAGCUGGGAAUGAUAUUGUUCAGGGAAAUAAGAAAUUGAUAGUUGCACUUCUGUGGCAAUUGAUGAGAUUUAAUAUCCUUCAAUUGCUAAACAGACUGAGAUCCCACUCCAAAGGAUCCCAAGGAAAGCAAAUUACUGAUGCAGAUAUACUGAACUGGGCAAACAGCAAAGUGAAAGCAUCAGGAAGAACAUCUCGAAUGGAAAGCUUCAAGGAUAAGAGUUUAUCAAAUGGAGUGUUCUUCCUCGAACUUCUUAGUGCAGUUCAGCCAAGGGUUGUGAACUGGAAAGUAGUUACAAAGGGAGAAGCUGACGAGGAAAAGAAGCUAAAUGCUACCUACAUCAUUAGUGUUGCAAGAAAGCUCGGAUGUUCUGUGUUUCUACUGCCAGAGGACAUUAUAGAGGUGAACCAGAAGAUGAUCCUAACUCUUACAGCUAGCAUCAUGUAUUGGAGCCUGCUGAGACAACCACAGCCUGAAAUAUCUGAAGCAUCAGAGCCAUCUAGCAUGGCUUCGGACGCAACUUCUGACAUUGGCUCGGAGGAUGGUGCCUCAACAGCAGCACCGUCCGAGAGCGAAGAGGCAAACUCACUGUCCGAUAGUCUAUCCACCCUGACCACAGACGACGCCACCUCAAAUGCUCCAGCUGCAGAAAACGGGAGCGACACCACCUCGAAUGCUCCAGCUGCAGAAAACGGGACCGGCGCCACCCCAGAUGCUCCACCUGCAGAAAACGGGAACAACGCCACCCCAGAUGCUCCACCUGCAGAAAACGGGAACGACGCCACAUGA
Molecule: ribosomal RNA, 2238 nt
Filed under: Triticum aestivum (bread wheat)
Lineage: Eukaryota; Viridiplantae; Streptophyta; Magnoliopsida; Poales; Poaceae
Description: partial small subunit ribosomal RNA
Source: RNAcentral